UUGUGAAAAAUUAUUAUUUUUAAAUUUAUAAUAUAUAUUUAAUAAAAAAAAUUUAUUUUUAGUAUUAUUUAAGAAAAAAAUUAUUUAAUUAUAGAUAAUUAGUAUUGUGAAAGAAAUUUUAAAUAAAAAAUAAAGAAAAAUUUUUUUGUACCUUGUGUAUCAGGGUUAAUUAAUUUAUAAUUAUAUAAUAUUUUCUCGAAUUUAAAAGAGCUAAGAUAAUAUAAAUUUAUUGUAGAAUAAAUAUAUUUAAUUUUAUUUUAGUAAUGAAAUGUUAUUCGUUUUUAAUAUAUCUAGUUAUUUAAGAAAAAAGUUUAAUUUUAUAAUUAAUAAUUAAUUUAUUGUUUAGUUAGUAAAUUAUUGUUAAUUAGUUAUUUAUAAGGGGAUGAGCUUUUAUAAAUAUAAUUAAAAAUUUAAUUUUUAAUGAAAAGAUAUAGGAUUAGAAUUUUCCAUUAGUUUAAUUAUGUUAUGAUUAAUUUUUUUAUAUAUAAAAUUUAUAAUUAUUUUAAUUUUUUUAUUAAAUUAUAUAAUUUAUUUUUAUCUUUGUAGAAAUAAUGAUUAAAUUAGUAAUAUAUUUUGUGUAAUUAAAUUUAAUAGUUUAGGUUAAUUAAAGGAAUUCGGCAAAUUAUUUUUCACCUGUUUAUUAAAAACAUGGCCUUUUGAGUAUAAUUUAAGGUCUGGCCUGCCCACUGAGUAUUAAAGGGCCGCGGUAUUUUGACCGUGCUAAGGUAGCAUAAUCAUUAGUUUUUUAAUUGAAAGCUGGAAUGAAUGGUUGGAUGAAAAAAUAACUGUCUCUAAUUAAUUUUUAAUGAAUUUUAUUUAUAAGUAAAAAAGCUUAUAUGAUUUUAAAAGACGAGAAGACCCUAUAGAGUUUUAUAUUUUGAAUUAGUAAGAUUUUAGAAUUUAAAAUUUACUGAGUAAGAUUUAUUUGAUUGGGGUGAUUGAAAAAUUAAUUAAACUUUUUUUAUUUUAAGUCAUAUAUUUAUGAGUAAGUGAUCCAUUAAUUAUGAUUAAAAGAAUAAAUUACCUUAGGGAUAACAGCGUAAUUUUUUUUUAGAGUUCAAAUCGAAAAAAAAGAUUGCGACCUCGAUGUUGGAUUAAAGUUUAUUUUUGGUGUAGAAGCUAAAAUAUUGGGUCUGUUCGACCUUUAAAACUUUACAUGAUCUGAGUUUAAACCGGUGUGAGCCAGGUUGGUUUCUAUCUUUAAUAAAAAAAAUACAUUUUAGUACGAAAGGAUCAGAUGUGUGAUAAAA
Molecule: ribosomal RNA, 1250 nt
Filed under: Apomecyna saltator
Lineage: Eukaryota; Metazoa; Arthropoda; Insecta; Coleoptera; Cerambycidae
Description: 16S ribosomal RNA
Rfam family: Archaeal large subunit ribosomal RNA (bases 1031-1189)
Source: RNAcentral